GACGAACGCUGGCGGCGUGCUUAACACAUGCAAGUCGAGCGGUAAGGCCCUUUCGGGGGUACACGAGCGGCGAACGGGUGAGUAACACGUGGGUGACCUGCCCUCAGCUCUGGGAUAAGCCUGGGAAACUGGGUCUAAUACUGGAUAUGACUCCACGGUGCAUGUCGUGGGGUGGAAAGCCUUGUGCGGCUGAGGAUGGGCCCGCGGCCUAUCAGCUUGUUGGGGGGGUGA
RNAcentral lists this ribosomal RNA (231 nucleotides) under uncultured bacterium. Its description in RNAcentral is "partial 16S ribosomal RNA". It matches the Rfam family "Bacterial small subunit ribosomal RNA", at positions 28 to 260 of the family's 1533-position model. The record is from RNAcentral.